GGGAGAGUUCCCUAGCGGCAAUGGGGCGAGUCUGUAAAACUUGUGCGUUUACGCUGCGUUGGUUCGAGUCCAACCUCUCCCACCA
RNAcentral lists this transfer RNA (85 nucleotides) under Bacteriophage sp. RNAcentral's name for it is "tRNA-Tyr". It matches the Rfam family "tRNA". From Rfam's summary of the family: Transfer RNA (tRNA) molecules are approximately 80 nucleotides in length. Their secondary structure includes four short double-helical elements and three loops (D, anti-codon, and T loops). The record is from RNAcentral.